GGAAUCUUCGGCAAUGGACGAAAGUCUGACCGAGCAACGCCGCGUGAGUGAAGAAGGUUUUCGGAUCGUAAAACUCUGUUGUUUGAGAAGAACAAGGAUGAGAGUAACUGUUCAUCCCUAGACGGUAUCUAACCAGAAAGCCACGGCUAACUACGUGCCAGCAGCCGCGGUAAUACGUAGGAGGCAAGCGUUGUCCGGAUUUAUUGGGCGUAAAGCGAGCGCAGGCGGUCUCUUAAGUCUGAUGUGAAAGCCCACGGCUCAACCGUGGAGGGUCAUUGGAAACUGGGAGACUUGAGUGCAGGAGAGAAAAGUGGAAUUCCACGUGUAGCGGUGAAAUGCGUAGAGAUGUGGAGGAACACCAGUGGCGAAGGCGGCUUUUUGGCCUGUAACUGACGCUGAGGCGCGAAAGCGUGGGGAGCAAACA
Molecule: ribosomal RNA, 424 nt
Filed under: uncultured bacterium
Lineage: Bacteria
Description: bacterial SSU rRNA
Rfam family: Bacterial small subunit ribosomal RNA
Source: RNAcentral